This 680-nucleotide ribosomal RNA is filed under the name Streptomyces olivaceus. Its description in RNAcentral is "bacterial SSU rRNA". It matches the Rfam family "Bacterial small subunit ribosomal RNA", at positions 56 to 753 of the family's 1533-position model. Lineage: Bacteria; Bacillati; Actinomycetota; Actinomycetes; Kitasatosporales; Streptomycetaceae. The record is from RNAcentral.
UGCAGUCGAACGAUGAACCACUUCGGUGGGGAUUAGUGGCGAACGGGUGAGUAACACGUGGGCAAUCUGCCCUGCACUCUGGGACAAGCCCUGGAAACGGGGUCUAAUACCGGAUAUUGACCUUCACGGGCAUCUGUGAGGUUCGAAAGCUCCGGCGGUGCAGGAUGAGCCCGCGGCCUAUCAGCUUGUUGGUGAGGUAAUGGCUCACCAAGGCGACGACGGGUAGCCGGCCUGAGAGGGCGACCGGCCACACUGGGACUGAGACACGGCCCAGACUCCUACGGGAGGCAGCAGUGGGGAAUAUUGCACAAUGGGCGAAAGCCUGAUGCAGCGACGCCGCGUGAGGGAUGACGGCCUUCGGGUUGUAAACCUCUUUCAGCAGGGAAGAAGCGAAAGUGACGGUACCUGCAGAAGAAGCGCCGGCUAACUACGUGCCAGCAGCCGCGGUAAUACGUAGGGCGCAAGCGUUGUCCGGAAUUAUUGGGCGUAAAGAGCUCGUAGGCGGCUUGUCACGUCGGUUGUGAAAGCCCGGGGCUUAACCCCGGGUCUGCAGUCGAUACGGGCAGGCUAGAGUUCGGUAGGGGAGAUCGGAAUUCCUGGUGUAGCGGUGAAAUGCGCAGAUAUCAGGAGGAACACCGGUGGCGAAGGCGGAUCUCUGGGCCGAUACUGACGCUGAGGAG